GGCUCAGGACGAACGCUGGCGGCGUGCCUAAUACAUGCAAGUCGAGCGGACAGAUGGGAGCUUGCUCCCUGAAGUCAGCGGCGGACGGGUGAGUAACACGUGGGCAACCUGCCUGUAAGACUGGGAUAACUCCGGGAAACCGGGGCUAAUACCGGAUAAUUCUUUCCCUCACAUGAGGGAAAGCUGAAAGAUGGUUUCGGCUAUCACUUACAGAUGGGCCCGCGGCGCAUUAGCUAGUUGGUGAGGUAACGGCUCACCAAGGCAACGAUGCGUAGCCGACCUGAGAGGGUGAUCGGCCACACUGGGACUGAGACACGGCCCAGACUCCUACGGGAGGCAGCAGUAGGGAAUCUUCCGCAAUGGACGAAAGUCUGACGGAGCAACGCCGCGUGAGUGAUGAAGGUUUUCGGAUCGUAAAACUCUGUUGUUAGGGAAGAACAAGUACCGGAGUAACUGCCGGUACCUUGACGGUACCUAACCAGAAAGCCACGGCUAACUACGUGCCAGCAGCCGCGGUAAUACGUAGGUGGCAAGCGUUGUCCGGAAUUAUUGGGCGUAAAGCGCGCGCAGGCGGUUCCUUAAGUCUGAUGUGAAAGCCCCCGGCUCAACCGGGGAGGGUCAUUGGAAACUGGGGAACUUGAGUGCAGAAGAGAAGAGUGGAAUUCCACGUGUAGCGGUGA
RNAcentral lists this ribosomal RNA (680 nucleotides) under Cytobacillus firmus. Its description in RNAcentral is "bacterial SSU rRNA". It matches the Rfam family "Bacterial small subunit ribosomal RNA", at positions 21 to 684 of the family's 1533-position model. Lineage: Bacteria; Bacillati; Bacillota; Bacilli; Caryophanales; Bacillaceae. The record is from RNAcentral.